This 331-nucleotide ribosomal RNA is filed under the name uncultured eukaryote. RNAcentral's name for it is "partial 18S ribosomal RNA". It matches the Rfam family "Eukaryotic small subunit ribosomal RNA", at positions 1470 to 1796 of the family's 1831-position model. The record is from RNAcentral.
CCCUUAGAUGUUCUGGGCCGCACGCGCGCUACACUGAUGCAUUCAACGAGCCUAUCCUUGACCGACAGGUCCGGGUAAUCUUUGAAUCUGCAUCGUGACGGGGAUAGAUUAUUGCAAUUAUUAAUCUUCAACGAGGAAUGCCUAGUAGGCGCAAGUCAUCAGCUUGCGUUGAUUACGUCCCUGCCCUUUGUACACACCGCCCGUCGCUACUACCGAUUGGAUGGCUUAGUGAGACCCUCGGACCGAUAGGCUGUCGCCGCGGCAACGUGGCGACCGGCCCGUCGGGAAGAAGGUCAAACUUGACUGUCUAGAGGAAGUAAAAGUCGUAACA